This 569-nucleotide long non-coding RNA is filed under the name Brassica napus (rape). RNAcentral's name for it is "long non-coding RNA (BNAP_LNC006970)". The record is from RNAcentral. Lineage: Eukaryota; Viridiplantae; Streptophyta; Magnoliopsida; Brassicales; Brassicaceae.
CAUUGAUUAGGUUUUGAUUUAGGAUAGAUUAAGGAUUAGAGAUAGAGCUUUAUAUAGGAGAAGGAUCAAGAGGAGGUGGAAAGAAACACUCAAGAAUGGCUUUAUGAUUAUCAUUGAUUGAGAAAGUUACGGAAAAAGAAAUUCAUGACAUCGGAGAAGAUGAAGCGGAAGAGUCGGAGGAGGAGAUACAUUCGAAAGCGUGAAACUAAACAGGUUUGUCUACCUGGACUGCUGUGGGCCGACUAAUAAUCAUAAUUUUAAUAGAGGCCAUACGAAAUUCCAGUCAUGGUGACCUGUCAAAAUAAAGUCUUCCUAUUGGUCGAUUUUCCAUGCAUACGUGGACGCGUUUAGAGGGUUUGAUAUGUUCCUUUUAGUAUUGUUAGAUUAGAGAUAGAGCUUUAUAUAGGAGAAGGAUCAAGAGGAGGUGGAAAGAAACACUCAAGAAUGGCUUUAUGAUUAUCAUUGAUUGAGAAAGUUACGGAAAAAGAAAUUCAUGACAUCGGAGAAGAUGAAGCGGAAGAGUCGGAGGAGGAGAUACAUUCGAAAGCGUGAAACUAAACAGGUUUGUC